GCCCCGAUGAUGGAAUGGUAGACAUGCAGUGUUCAGAACGCUGUGUCCGCAAGGACGUGAGGGUUCGAGUCCCUCUUGGGGCA
This 83-nucleotide transfer RNA is filed under the name Candidatus Levybacteria bacterium RIFCSPHIGHO2_01_FULL_40_16. RNAcentral's name for it is "tRNA-Leu". It matches the Rfam family "tRNA". Rfam says of the family: Transfer RNA (tRNA) molecules are approximately 80 nucleotides in length. Their secondary structure includes four short double-helical elements and three loops (D, anti-codon, and T loops). RNAcentral also lists the same sequence under 2 other names. The record is from RNAcentral. Lineage: Bacteria; Candidatus Levyibacteriota.